CCGCUGUCUCCAGGAUCUCCCUAAGAUUAAAGUUACUGAUGUGCAUCGUAUUUGCAAAAAAUCAACCACAGCUCCAUCCAGCAAGCUGGAGAAAGGCUUUAAAUUAUACGCAGCCUCGUAUAUACACGGUUAUGAAGGUUGGACUCAGGGAUGCUUCACCUGUGGGGCUCACACAAAGCGAGUGUUCAUGUGUGGCAGGCACUGCUUUGUGCAAUCACACGGUUGCCUUACUCUUUCAAAGUGCUCAUUUUUCCCAGCUUAAUUUAUCUGUUGUACCCCCUGUGCUUAGCUGCACUGAAAGAGAACAAUCCUGGCAUAAACCACGAACAAUGGGUGUAAAACCAGGCCCAAUCAAUGCCAUGGUCAUCACAAAACCUGUAGCAAAUCGUACUACACAAGGUGGAGUGAGGUAAGUUCAGCAACCAAUUAUUUUUUUCUUUAGUACAAGGAUGCUAAGGACAAAGAUAAUUUGUUUAACAGCAUAAGGUCUUGCAAUGAAAUGCAGCAGUGUUCUUAUGCAUUUAAAAAAAUACAGAGUAUAAAAAGUAUAGACAUAGUAAUUAGAGCUAUAACAAAUGUAAUGUUAGCAACAACAAUUUUCAAGCUA
Molecule: long non-coding RNA, 607 nt
Organism: Carassius carassius (crucian carp)
Lineage: Eukaryota; Metazoa; Chordata; Actinopteri; Cypriniformes; Cyprinidae
Exons: 3
Source: RefSeq, a predicted model, not a curated record